RNAcentral lists this ribosomal RNA (253 nucleotides) under uncultured bacterium. RNAcentral's name for it is "partial 16S ribosomal RNA". It matches the Rfam family "Bacterial small subunit ribosomal RNA", at positions 524 to 775 of the family's 1533-position model. The record is from RNAcentral.
UACGAAGGGGGCUAGCGUUGCUCGGAAUUACUGGGCGUAAAGGGCGCGUAGGCGGCACUGUUAGUCAGGCGUGAAAGUCCUGGGCUCAACCUGGGAACUGCGCUUGAUACGGCAGAGCUAGAGGAUGGAAGAGGGUCGCGGAAUUCCCAGUGUAGAGGUGAAAUUCGUAGAUAUUGGGAAGAACACCGGUGGCGAAGGGCGGCGACCUGGUCCAUUACUGACGCUGAGGCGCGACAGCGUGGGGAGCAACAGG